This 468-nucleotide ribosomal RNA is filed under the name uncultured bacterium. RNAcentral's name for it is "partial 16S ribosomal RNA". It matches the Rfam family "Bacterial small subunit ribosomal RNA", at positions 28 to 507 of the family's 1533-position model. The record is from RNAcentral.
GACGAACGCUGGCGGCGUGCUUAACACAUGCAAGUCGAACGGAAAGGCCCUGCUUUUGUGGGGUGCUCGAGUGGCGAACGGGUGAGUAACACGUGAGUAACCUGCCCUUGACUUUGGGAUAACUUCAGGAAACUGGGGCUAAUACCGGAUAGGAGCUCCUGCUGCAUGGUGGGGGUUGGAAAGUUUCGGCGGUUGGGGAUGGACUCGCGGCUUAUCAGCUUGUUGGUGGGGUAGUGGCUUACCAAGGCUUUGACGGGUAGCCGGCCUGAGAGGGUAACCGGCCACAUUGGGACUGAGAUGCGGCCCAGACUCCUACGGGAGGCAGCAGUGGGGAAUAUUGCACAAUGGGCGGAAGCCUGAUGCAGCAACGCCGCGUGCGGGAUGACGGCCUUCGGGUUGUAAACCGCUUUCGCCUGUGACGAAGCGUGAGUGACGGUAAUGGGUAAAGAAGCACCGGCUAACUACGUG